GUAACUGAACUAAAGUGGUCAUAUAAUCUUCCAAGGAAAUUUAUGUGAUUGAGUGGAUGAGACGUCAAAAUUCACAACUAUAUCUUUCCAGAAAGAAAAAAUUCACAACCAUACAGCAACUUUUAAUGCACUAAUGUUGAAAUAUGAAGUCACUGACUUCAAAAAGGAACCAAUUCAGCAACCUCCUUCCAAGUAAUGCAGGUAAGAAGGUCCAUAAAAGUUUCCUUGUUCGAUGAAGAAACAGCUUUGUGGUUAACAUGAGCCAGGGAUAGUGUAUUCUCAGUAGCAUCAGUAUCUCAGCAACAACUAUUUCAGGUUCUCGUCGGAGAAGUUUUUGUAGGGAUGAUUUCCACCGAACUCCAAUUACAAAAUCGGGCUCAGUUUACCAAUUCAUCGACACCACCAAUGUUGAGACAACUCCAAAACCGCCGCCGCCGCCCCACUUCCGGUUGCUAUAGGUUGGGGAGAUGAAGUCCAAUGAUAUGCCCACUAAAGAUUAACCACAAAGGUCACAGUGAAGUGAAGCAAGAAGCCAAGAAGAAAGUAUCACAAAGAGAGAAAAAUAGGCACACUCCAUGG
Molecule: long non-coding RNA, 579 nt
Filed under: Olea europaea (common olive)
Lineage: Eukaryota; Viridiplantae; Streptophyta; Magnoliopsida; Lamiales; Oleaceae
Description: long non-coding RNA (OEUR_LNC008194)
Source: RNAcentral